RNAcentral lists this ribosomal RNA (577 nucleotides) under Trichoderma asperellum. Its description in RNAcentral is "eukaryotic LSU rRNA". The stretch from base 188 to 341 matches the Rfam family "5.8S ribosomal RNA". The record is from RNAcentral. Lineage: Eukaryota; Fungi; Ascomycota; Sordariomycetes; Hypocreales; Hypocreaceae.
GGGUUUGGAGGUUUAACUCCCAAACCCAAUGUGAACGUUACCAAACUGUUGCCUCGGCGGGGUCACGCCCCGGGUGCGUCGCAGCCCCGGAACCAGGCGCCCGCCGGAGGAACCAACCAAACUCUUUCUGUAGUCCCCUCGCGGACGUAUUUCUUACAGCUCUGAGCAAAAAUUCAAAAUGAAUCAAAACUUUCAACAACGGAUCUCUUGGUUCUGGCAUCGAUGAAGAACGCAGCGAAAUGCGAUAAGUAAUGUGAAUUGCAGAAUUCAGUGAAUCAUCGAAUCUUUGAACGCACAUUGCGCCCGCCAGUAUUCUGGCGGGCAUGCCUGUCCGAGCGUCAUUUCAACCCUCGAACCCCUCCGGGGGAUCGGCGUUGGGGAUCGGGACCCCUCACACGGGUGCCGGCCCCUAAAUACAGUGGCGGUCUCGCCGCAGCCUCUCCUGCGCAGUAGUUUGCACAACUCGCACCGGGAGCGCGGCGCGCCCACGUCCGUAAAACACCCAACUUUCUGAAAUGUUGACCUCGGAUCAGGUAGGAAUACCCGCUGAACUUAAGCAUAUCAAUAAGCGGAGGAA